GGGUAUAGCUCAGUUGGUAGAGCGGCGGUCUCCAAAACCGCAGGUCGCGGGUUCGAGCCCUGCUGCCC
RNAcentral lists this transfer RNA (68 nucleotides) under Pannonibacter indicus. It matches the Rfam family "tRNA". Rfam says of the family: Transfer RNA (tRNA) molecules are approximately 80 nucleotides in length. Lineage: Bacteria; Pseudomonadati; Pseudomonadota; Alphaproteobacteria; Hyphomicrobiales; Stappiaceae. The record is from RNAcentral. RNAcentral also lists the same sequence under 3 other names.